RNAcentral lists this ribosomal RNA (253 nucleotides) under uncultured bacterium. Its description in RNAcentral is "partial 16S ribosomal RNA". It matches the Rfam family "Bacterial small subunit ribosomal RNA", at positions 524 to 776 of the family's 1533-position model. The record is from RNAcentral.
UACAGAGGGUGCUAGCGUUGUUCGGAAUCAUUGGGCGUAAAGGGCGUGUAGGCGGUUUGUUAAGUCAUGUGUGAAAUCCCUCGGCUCAACCGGGGAACGACGCAUGAAACUGGCAAGCUAGAGUACCAAAGAGGGGGGUGGAAUUCCCGGUGUAGCGGUGAAAUGCGUAGAUAUCAAGAGGAACACCUGAGGUGAAGACGGGUUGCUGGGCUGACACUGACGCUGAGGCGCGAAAGCCAGGGGAGCGAACGGG